GACGAACGCUGGCGGCGUGCUUAAUACAUGCAAGUCAACGACUUUUAGAGUAGCAAUAUUUUAAAGGAAGUGGCGCACGGGUGAGUAACACGUAGGUAAUCUGCCUUCAGGACUGACACAACUCGUCGAAAGACGGGCUAAUAUCAGAUAAUGCAGCGGCUCCGCAUGGAGACAGUUGUUAAAGUACAAGCGCCUGAAGAUGAGCCUGCGGUCCAUUAGCUAGUUGGUAGAGUAACAGCCUACCAAGGCAACGAUGGAUAGCUGGUCUGAGAGGAUGAUCAGCCACACUGGAACUGAGACACGGUCCAGACUCCUACGGGAGGCAGCAGUAAGGAAUAUUGCUCAAAUGGCCGAAAGGCUGAAGCAGCAACGCCGCGUGAAGGAUGAAAUGGCCUUUGGUCCUGUAAACUUACUGUAAAAAAGGGAAAAACAAGUACAGGUAGU
RNAcentral lists this ribosomal RNA (444 nucleotides) under uncultured bacterium. Its description in RNAcentral is "bacterial SSU rRNA". It matches the Rfam family "Bacterial small subunit ribosomal RNA", at positions 28 to 463 of the family's 1533-position model. The record is from RNAcentral.